RNAcentral lists this long non-coding RNA (10205 nucleotides) under Medicago truncatula (barrel medic). RNAcentral describes it as "long non-coding RNA (MTRU_LNC002006)". The record is from RNAcentral. Lineage: Eukaryota; Viridiplantae; Streptophyta; Magnoliopsida; Fabales; Fabaceae.
UCAGAUUUAUAUUUAAUGGGAAAUACACAGUAACACAAUAAUAAUGUUAAUAAAUUUGUCAUUGAGAUGAACUUUUUACAACCAAGUAUGAUAACAAUAAUAAUGUUAAUAAAUUUGUCAUUCAAAAGAGAAACUCUUUUCAAGGUGAGAAACUAUACUACUACAAAAUUGGGUCAAAUAUCUACGUCAAUACUAUGCUAACUUCAAAGAUUUGAUUCAAUUCAAGCGAGAAGUGAUAUCUAAGAAUACUUCUUCUCUGCAAGGAAUAGUGAGACCACCCAUUGGAUGAUCAUAUUCAUAUUGUUCUUCAGCUUGGUUCAACAAUUCUUGGAACGAGGUUUGGUUCAAGUAUGAUAUUGGGAUCACAAACCGCUUCAUUUUCUCUCCUACAUACACUGCUAGAUAUCCUUUUGGCACGUCAACAGCUUUUGAAGAUGAUACCCUUGAUCUGAUGAUACUUGGUAAACGAAAACCCAUUGUUGUAUGAAUUAAAAAGAGAAGAUUGGUCUAAAAAAAAGAGUUGUGUAUAGAAGACUCAAGUUUCUGAACUUCAAAUGCCUUGGGAGGUGAAUGAUUUUUUGUUGGUGCUAAAUGCUUUUGCAGCCUUUAAUAUAUAUAGAUGAAAGGAUAUGUAACAAACAGUCGGCAGCUACAAUGAUCAAUGAAGGAGGGCCAUGAGGUUUGAGCUAUGGCCAGACAAGAGCAUAUGAAAGAUCACAUGGUGUUGUCUCUAGAUGAAUGGAUAAACUUCAAGUGUUGUAGUAGAUAGAUAAUGCAUAAUUCUUGAGCAUAAGCAUCAUAUAAUUGAUAGACUUGAAAGUAAAGCCACAAACAUAUAGAAUGGUUUAUGUUGUUAUAUUGUUAUCUAUGGCAUUAUAGUCACUUACUAGCUGGACAUCAGCAUUAUCAUAAUGCAGAAAACAUGUCUAAAGCAUGUUUACAAAAUUAUGAAGUACACCAAUUAAAUCAUGAAGAAAUAUGAGGCUGACAUCUCAUUUGGUAGCAAGUGGAAGCUUUGUAUUGGACAUUUGUUUAAGAAGGUAGGGUACACUCUUAGACAACACCACAUGAGACCUUAUCCCUAUGCUCUCUAUCCAUCAAACCCUUCAAUAAUAGUUUCUCUUGAAAUUUGGUUCUGAGAGAACUUCAAAAUCUAUAAAUACACUUCCUCUCUCCUUCAUAAAGCACAACUCAUUGGCAUCAUCAAGUAUUUAGUUAAAACUUACAUCCUUCUUACAUUUGAGAUUUUUUAUUUGUUCUUCUCUCAAACAAUAACAAAAAAUGGGUUUUCGUUUAAACUCUAUUCUAAGAGGAUCGGUAACAGCUAGACAAGCAACAUCAAAAUCUGUAGAAGUGAGAAAGGGCUAUGUUGCGGUGUAUGUUGGAGAGAAACUGGUGCGGUUUGUAGUCCCUGUAUCAUACUUGAAUCAACCUUCAUUUCAAGACUUGUUGAGUCAAUCCGAGGAAGAAUUUGGAUAUGAUCAUCCCAUGGGUGGCCUCACCAUUCCUUGUACAGAAGAUGUCUUCCAGCAUAUAAUUUCUUCCUUGAAUGGACUAUGAAUCUUACACUGUAGCAUACUCACAUAGACUAGAUUAAUUGAGACAAUUUUCAUUAUAGGCAUCAUUUUUACUUGUAAAUAUUACCCUUUUCAUGGGAAAUGGAGAAAAAAAUACUAUUUGAAUUACAAAUUCAAAAAAUUACUGUCCUCUUUUUUAUUGUUUAAUGACAUUGAGCUCAUUUACUUUAUCAGUUACAACUUUCACUAGCUAUAGUUAGUUCUUUAAAUAUCAGCCUGCUUAUGAAGAAUACAUAACUUGGCUGAUUUAAAAAAAAAUCCUACUACAAGCUAUGUUCUUUGAGCCUGUUGAAAUAAGAUAAUCUGUUGCUUUUAUUUCUGUAAAAUCCAGCUAAAUCUUUCUAUGCAAUAAAACCUGUUUUGCUAAUUCCAGGUAAAUAACUAAAGUUAUUGAACUAAAUCAAUAACCAUUGAUAAUUUAGCCAAAUUAAUUAGUUUUGGCCUGUCUUCAGAAAAUGCCUUUUUCCAUUGAUUAUAUUUAAGAGGUAUAGUUUCGUUAAAUGUUUCACAUAAAUUCAAAAAAAGCAAAAGUUGAACAUGAUUACUUUAACUAUUUUAUUAUCUCCUAAGCAGAAAUUAGCUCCUACACUUCAAUUUUAUUCAGAAUCUAUCUCACUUAGUUUAUUAGUAAACACCAUUAAACUUACAAGCUAAAUAUUUAUUUCAAUUCCUAUAGUUUGAAAUUGAUUCAAAUUUCCAACUGGCUCUUAAGUCUUUAACCCUUCUAGUUUUCUCAAAACUGAAAAUCACAAACUUUUAUUGUUUCAGUUGAAUAUUUAUGUGGGGAACAGGCCCUCUAUAAACUUCUAAUGUUUGGCAAGGAAGUGCCUCGCGUAUUCCUUAUAGUAUAAGGAAUCUGUAAUAGAUAAUAUGUACCUUUUUUUACUGGUUGAUGAUAUAUACUCAACAAAUAUCAAUUUGAUAUAAAAACAAAGUAAAAGUUAAGAGUUUUUGAAAUUUUCUCCUUCAAAAUAAUUACAAAAACUAGAUAAUCUAUAUAAUUGGCAACUGUCUAAAACUGUAGGUGACAUCCAUGCAUAAGCUCAACUUCGCCAACAAGUCAAUGAAAAUAAACCAUUGUUAGAUCAAUAUAGUUGGAUUCAGUGUUUUUCUUGAAGAUUCUUUUCGCAAUAUAUCCUUAAUUUAUGACCACUAAAAUAUAUCAGAUCCUUUUUUUUUUAUUGCAACAGGGGCGAUUCCUUUUUAUAUAUGAAGUAAAUGAAUUUUUCAUUUUAUCAGAGAGAUCAUAAACUGAACAUUUAGCAAUUGAUUUUCAUAUUCAUAAUUAAGGGGAAGUAAUAGAGAAAUAAUGUAAUAGUGUUUAAAAUUUCUCAUUCAGAUGAACGUUUUACAUUCAAGGUAUGAUAACAACAAAAGUGGAAAUCUUCUAAAGGUUAGAAAAUAGAAACUAAUUUGAUACAAAAAUUGGUCAGAUAUCUAUGUCAAUCUUCUAAUAUCUGCAUGGAGCUACUUCAAUUCAAGUUAGAAGUGAUAUCUAAGAAAACUUCUUCUUUGCAAGGAAUAGUGAGACCCCCCAUUGGAUGGUCAUAUUCAAAUUGUUCCUCAGCUUGGUUCAACAAUUCUUGGAAUGAUUUUUGCUUCAAAUAUGAUAUAGGGAUCACAAAUCUCUUCAUGUCCUUUCCUACAUACACAGCUAGAUAUCCCUUUGGAACGCCCACAGAUUUUGAAGAUGAUGACCUUUUGAUGAUACUAGGUAAACGAAAACCCAUUGUUGUAUGUGUUGAAAAUAAGAGAUUGGUCUAAAAUAGACAGACUUGUAUAUAGAAAAGACUCAAGUUUUUUAACUUCAAAUGAGUUGGAAUGUGAAUGAUUUGUGUUGGUGCUAAAUGCUUGCAGCCAUGAAUAUAUAUAGAUGAACGGAUACUUAACAAACCGUCGGCAACUAUAAUGAUCAGUGAAGGAGGACCAUAGGAUUAGAGUUAUGUUCAGACAACAGCAUAUGAAACGUCACAUGGUGUUGUCUUCAGAAUUUAGAGGACUUUCUCAAAGAUCAACAUCAAAUGUUGUGGUAGGUAGAUAAUGCAAGUCCCACCUUGUUGAGUAGAGGCCAGCAUAUAAUUAAUCAACUUGAAAGUAUAACCACAAACAUGUAGAGUGGUUUAUGGAUCUAUUGCUAUCUAUUGCCUUGUAUAGUUUAGCAUCUGGACAUCAACACUAUCAUAAUAGAAAGAACAUGUCUAAGCAUGAUUUCACAGUUAUGAAGAAGUAAUUAAUGCAUGAACAGAUAUAAGGCUGCUCUGCACUUGAGAAAGUCUCAAUUGGUUCCAAGUGGAAGCUUUGUGUUGGCCAUUGUUUGAGAAGGUGGGGUACAAUCUUAAGACAACGCCACAUGCUAUAUUAUCUUAUGCUCUCUAACCUUUAACUCUUUCAAAUAAUAAUUUAGCUUUGAAUCGAAUUUUCAGAUAAACUCAAUGACUAUAAAUAUACGCACAUAAAAUGGGUUUCCAAUAGCCUGUUCUUCUAAGUGUUAGUUACAUGGCAUCCCACUACAGUCUAGUUGUCCGCACACACCACAUCAAAAUGGUGUUUCCAAGUGGAAACAUCGUCAUCUACUCGUACCUUAUUGAUUAAUGCUCAUGCACUUUGAAAACAUUGAGGUGAUGUUGUUCUCACAACAUCUUAUUUGAUCAAGUGUAUGCCAUUCUCGGUAUUGGAUAAUGAGAUUCCACAUUCUCUCUUGUUUUAUAAGCCCCCGCUGUAUUUUGUACUUUUACGAGUGUUUGGAUCCACUUCUCUUGUUCAUGUUCUAUCUCCUGGCUGUGAAAAAUUGUUUACAGGAGAUAUCAAGUGUGUGUUUCAGGGGUACUGCAGAGUUCAAAAGGGGGAUCAAUGUUAUUGUCUAUUUACACGUCAUUUUUAUGUUUCGACAGAUGUUACUUUCUUUGAUGAUACACCUUACUUUGUGACACCAGGUACAUCAGAUUCUAAAACAUAUAUAUGUUAGUAAUCAUGUGGUACAUAUUCCUCUAUUUGAAUGAUCUAUCUCUACUCACAGACCUCCAUAGUCACAUAGUCAUCCCGAGUUUAAGUGUUAUUGUACUACUAAUCAACGUCAAUGUGUUGAUGCUCAAGAGACAGUUCCUACCUCUUCCGGUGAUUUAGAUUUUGUUCAUAUUACUUCUAACCGUCAUUAUAUAUAUAACUUUUUGAGUUAUCAUCGCUUGCCUCCAUCGAUCUCACUAUGUUUUUGUCUCUAUUAUAUCCGCUAUCUCUAUUCAUAAGUUCAUCCAGAAAGUAAUAUCACAUCCAGGAUGGCGACAAGCAAUAAUUGUUGAAAUGAAUGCAUUGGAGUCUGUGUACAUGGAAGUUUGUUCCAUUACCUCCUCGAAAAUCUAUUUUGGUUGUCAGUGGGUCUUUGCUAUUAAAGUAUGUUAUCAUGAACAAAUGGAUCAUACAAAAGGUCAAUUGGUAGCAAAAGUAUACCCUCAAAUUUAUGGUUUGGACUAUAUUGGUACCUUGCAAAAAUGGUUUAUGCUCGUCUUUCUUUGUUAGUGGCUGCUAUCAAACAUUUACCUUUGUAUCUUAUUUCAUGAAGUCUUAGAAGAGGCGAUGUAUAUGCAGUAGCCACCUGGCUUUAUUGCUUAGGGUGAUUUUGGUCUUGUUUACAAGUUAGAAAAAUCAUUGUACGGUCUAAAGCAAUCAGCUUGAACUUACUUUUGAAAAUUCAGCAAGCUUAUUCAAUAAUUUGGCAGGAUUCAUUGUGAAGCUGGUCAUUCUGUAUUAUUUAGACAUUCAUCUUCAAACAAAGUCAUUUAUUGAGUGGUAUAUGUGGAUGAUAUUUUUAUUACCGAUAAUGAUUAAGAAGACAUUAAAAACAUAAAAAAUAAUUUAUUCAACCACUUUCAAACCAAUUAUUUAAGCCAAUUGCGUUUUUUUUUUUGGGAAUGAAGUAACACAAACACAUGAAGCUACUGCUAUUUCUUAGAGAAAAUAUGUUCUUGAUAUCUUGGGAGAAACAUGGAUGCUCGAUUGUAAACCAGUUGCUACUCCUUUGGACCAUAAUGUGAAGCUUUUACAAAAUCAUGGAGAGUGGUAUCCUGAUCCAGACAGAUACAGGAGGCUAGUUGUGAAACUGAAUUAUCUCACUAUUCUUGUCUCUCCUCCUCUCACUUAUUUGCUUGUCUCUCUUUUUUCUGACUUACUUGCUUCUGUAUAUGCAGGAAGAAUUCAUUUAGCAAAGAAUUGAAUUAAUGCAAUAUAUCAUGUUUUUUCUGUUUCUAAGGGCUUGUUGUUCUUGUUUCUUUGUAGCUCAUCAUAGCAUGUUUUGCGGAGGUUUUAUGUUGCAGAUGUAAAUUUAGGUUUUGUACUUGCUAAUUUAGUAAAGCUGUGUCAAUAAUAACGUUGCAAAUCCAAAAUCUGUGAAUAAGAAUUUCAUUAUUGACAUAAAUGCUAAUCCAAUUUUAUAAAUUAAAAAUCGGCCAAAUCAAUCUUGGCUCAUCCGUAGUUUAACGGUUUAACCAGACUGCAAGAUAAUUGAAGUCAAACCAGCCGAUGAACUGGUCAUUUCCUAGUUCUAAGAAUGUUGAGGUAGUAUAUACCAACUUAUUUAAAAAACAAAUGUAAGGGUUCUACAAAUAUAGGUUGGUUCUUCAAGUGACAACAAAAUGCUACUACAAAUGAAAACAGACAAGCUUUUUCCAAACUAAAACAGAAAAUAAACAAAAGUGAUCCAUGUCACAAAUAAGCAUACUGAUUCUUCUAGACCAACUUGUAGUAACAAUUGUUUGCACAGAUUAGAACCUCAUAUCCCUUGCCACAUGGACACUUGAAAGUAAGGCUUAAACACUUAUCAACCCACUCCACACUAACAGCUUCUUCAUAAUCAUUUCCCAAUUCAUCCUACAAAAACAAAAAUGAACUGUUCAGCAUAAAAACUAUUAAUCUGAAAGUCAUGUUUAUAGUUUUAACUUGUUGUCGCCAAAACUACAUCGCAAUUGCAGCCGCUUUUUAGAGGAUUUUGAGGUCUCUACAAGGGCGUCACAAACACAAUUUUAGUCACAUCGGCCGCAUUUCCCCACAAUGUAAAGGUUCACAUCGUGACCACAAGUGCGACUGCAAUCGCAAUUUAAAACAAUGAUUACAAGUGCAACUAUGAUCACAUCAACAAUUUAUUAUGCUUCUUAGCCAAACCCCCAGAUCCUACAUAUUUAAGUGGAACAAAAGGUGGCUACACUACACAUGAAGUUGUAAUGAGGCCAAAAGUUUAGGUAGUGUUAUGGCUAUAAACAUUCAAACACGGGAAUAAAGGUGGCUACACUACACAUGAAACUAUAAUUGAAUAUGUCAUCUUCAUUCUUCAGUAUGUUCCUGUCUUAAAAUUUAGCAUUUUUACCCUUCGAUAUAAAACCUCUAACUCUAACAUAUUGCCCACAAAAUUCUUGAAAAGAAGAGUGUUUAUUCUUACCUAGAUUCGGUAAAUUAAAAACCAAAGGAAAAAUGCAGUGGAGGGAAGCACAUCACACAGUUGAUCAAAUAAUUUUUUUACUUCAGAUAUGUAUAUGUCGAUAAGGGAAAGUCCAGAUCCUAUAUAAUUGAGUUGUUAAAAUUGCUGCACAUAAACUAUGAUUACAAAUGCAACUAUGAUCAAAUUCAAUACCUUCCCGUAACCCCCGGAUUCUUCGUAAUUAAGCAAGUGCAACUAGGAUAUACAUAAAAAUAAGAAAUAACUUGUAAGUACCAAUUAAAGAACCAACUACAUUGAAGAUUACAUAGAAAAGACAAUCACAGUUGAAGAUUCAAGACAUGUACCUGCGAUAUGACUUUUUCAUCUUCAGCAACAAAAGAGUCAAGAGAGUGCUCUUCUUGUUCUUGUUCUUUUUCAUCCUUUUCAUCUUCAGCAUCAGGAGAGGGCUCUUCUUCUUGUUGUUCUUUUUCAUUUUCUUCCUCGACUUCCAUAACUUCAUCCCACACUUUCUUCAUUUCUUUUAACCGAUCCUUCAUCCUUUUAAGCCUCUACGAAAAACAAACAAAACCCAUUAUUCCAAAUCAAAAAAAGAGUACUUUUUUAUCAAGAAACACAAGUUUCAACACAUACCAUUGAAUCAGAUUCAGGGGUGGUUUUUUUAGCAGAGUUCAAAUAACGAGCUACUGCUUCUUUAACCUCAAAAGGAUCAAUAACUUCAGAUAUACAUCUGCUGAUCGGAGGCUGAGGCUGCAAAGCAGUUGACGGCCCUUUUACCGGCAUGGAUUGAUCCGGCAAGGUGCAAGGAUCAGAGACACAGCGGCUAAGAGCAUUCCCGCGGAGACUGAAAGGAAGUGUAAUGGCAGAGAAGCCAUUACGGGUGAGAUUGCUUGCGUCAAAAGAAUGCUUCUUGGAUGAUGGUUGGUGGGCAGAUGAUGAUGAUGGUGAACGGCGUUUGACAGAGUUGUUGUGAGUGUGAUGAUGAAGCAUUGAUGAUGUUGGAAUAAUCAUGGAUUGUUUCUGUUUGUGAGGGAUCAACAUGGAUUCUUGUUGAAUCUGUAAAUCACCCAUUCUUCUGAAUUGUUUUCUUUUUUGAUUGUAAAGUAAGUGUGAGUGGCAAAGAGUUAUGAAAAAAGAGGGAUGGUUUGAGUAUACAUACAUACAUAUAUAUAUAUAUAUAUAUAUAGGAGAUGGUAUAUGAUGAUCUGUUGAGGUUUUCAAGGGUAACUGAUUUUCUGUCUUCAAAAUCAAAUCAAAAUGUUUAAAAGAAAAUAAGUUUUACAUAAUUUGUAUUUGAGAGAUACAAACCAAAAUGGAUUUCUGGCUGGUCAUGACAUUUUUUAUUAUAUACACCCUGAGUCUGGAAAUCAAUUUUACAGGGGUGGACUUAUUGUUGAGAAAAAAAUGAUCAUAAGAUGCGAAAAUCUCAACAAAUUAUACUUAGUUAUUUAAGCCUGUUGAAAUGAGAUAAUUGCUACUACUGUCUCUCUGAAUACUAGCUAGCAUAAUUAGGGUCAUUGUUCAUCCAGUUUUGCAAAUUCGAGGUAGCUAACUAAAAUGCUCGCACGAAUUCAAUAACUAUUGAUGAUCUAGCCAAAUUGAUAAGGCUCGGCCUAUGUUUUCAGAAAUUGCAUUAGCAGUGAUUAUAUAUUCAUUAAGAGCUGUUUUGGUUAAAUUUUUCACAUAUACUCAAAAAUGAAAAGUUGAACAUGAUUACCUUAACUAAUAUCUUAUCUCCCAAGAAGAAAUAAGCUUCUAUACUUCCAAUUUUUUCAGAUCUCUCUAACUCAGUUUAUAGGUAAAAACAUCCAGAACUUACUGGUAACACCAUCAGAGUUCAGAUAUUUCUUUCUCAUACAAGUUUAUUCACAUCAGUAUUUCAUUUAUAGUGUGCAGAACAAUAAAAAAAAAAAAAAGGGUAAUAUAUAUAACAAAAGAAGAGAGGACUCAAACAGAGGACUCAAUAAUUCAUGCUAUUUUUUAGAGUUAGGAAACAGUAAAAAAAUUCAAGAGUGCUUGGAUGAUAUGCCAUGAGUACUUAGAUAAGAUGUCCCAAGUAUCUUCCUAUCUAAAUAGAGGUUUCCGGUUCUAACUAUGUGAAUGCAACAACGUUAAAAUGUUCAGGGAGAGUUUUGCCGUGGUUUUAUUGGACUCGACAAUUGAGAAACGUGAUUUGUAAAAACAGAAGUAGUAGAUGGUAAAAUAUAGUCCUAUGUUUAUAAAUUGAGAUUAUAGAUUUUUUACAGCAAAAUUGAAAUUUGCCUUUCUUUUUUGAGAACAAAAUUGUUUAGACAUUUCACAACAAAAGAAAAAAAAUAUAUUAUCAAAGAAUUUGACUAUAAAAUGUAGAGGUAACUAUUUUUAACUCAUUUUUUUUAUUAAAAAAAAAAACAUAAUUUGAUAAAUUAAAUAAUUGUUAAUAUGAUUUGAGAAACCAUGUUUUUGCUAUCUAAAUUCUAUCCAAUAAUUCUGUGUUCUCUGCAGAUAUUUUUUCCGCAAUAUAUACUUCAAUUAUUAUUGUUAAAUCAAUAUAGUUUACUUUUUAAUUUCCAUUUUUUGCAUUAGGGGAGGAUUGAUUUUAUAAUUGAACAACUGAAUCUUCCAUUAUAUCCUCUAGAGAUUCUAAACUGAACAUUUAACAAAUAUAGAUGCAUCGAUUCUUAGAAUGGCAUGUAAGAAAAACACAGUAAUAAUGUGUUAAUAAACUUCUCAUUGAGGUGAACAUAUUUACAAGCAAAUAUGAUAACAACAAAAGAUAAAAUCUUUUGAAGGUGAGAAACUAAACUGCUACAAAACUGGGUCAAAUAUCUAUGUCAUGUCCUAUGAUAUCUUCAAAGAGCUAAUUCAAUUCAAGUGAGAAGUAAUAUCUAAGAAAAUGUCUUCUUUGCAAGGAAUAGUUAGACCACCCAUUGGAUGGUCAUAUUCAAAUUGUUCCUCGGCUUCGCUCAACAAUUCUUGGAAUGAAGUUUGGUUCAAAUAUGAUACAGGAAUCACAAACCGCUUCAUUUUCUCUCCUACGUACACUGCUAGAUAGCCCUUUGGAACGUCCACAGCUUUUGAAGAUGAUGCCCUUGAUCUGAUGAUACUACGUAAACGAAAACCCAUUGUUGUAUGUAUGAGUUAAAAGGAGAAGAUUGGUCUAAAAAGAAAGAGUUGUGUAUAGAAGACUCAAGUUUCUGAACUUCAACUGACUUGGGAUGUGAAUG